Molecule: ribosomal RNA, 500 nt
Filed under: uncultured Sphingobacteriales bacterium
Lineage: Bacteria; Pseudomonadati; Bacteroidota; Sphingobacteriia; Sphingobacteriales
Description: bacterial SSU rRNA
Rfam family: Bacterial small subunit ribosomal RNA
Source: RNAcentral
CGCCUUGCCAGCCCGCUCAGAACUUAAAGGAAUUGACGGGGCCCGCACAAGCGGUGGAGCAUGUGGUUAAUUCGAUGAUACGCGAGGAACCUUACCUGGGCUCAAAUGUAUGUUGACGUAUUCUGAAAGGGAUACUUCUUCGGACAAUAUACAAGGUGCUGCAUGGUUGUCGUCAGCUCGUGCCGUGAGGUGUCGGGUUAAGUCCCAUAACGAGCGCAACCCCUAUCAUUAGUUGCCAUCAGGUCAAGCUGGGGACUCUAAUGAAACUGCCUACGCAAGUAGUGAGGAAGGUGGGGAUGACGUCAAAUCAGUACGGCCCUUACGUCCAGGGCUACACACGUGCUACAAUGGCCGGUACAAAGGGCAGCUACCUGGUGACAGGAUGCAAAUCUCCAAAGUCGGUCUCAGUUCGGAUCGGAGUCUGCAACCCGACUCCGUGAAGUUGGAUUCGCUAGUAAUCGCGCAUCAGCCAUGGCGCGGUGAAUACGUUCCCGGGCCUU